AUUGAACGCUGGCGGCAUGCUUUACACAUGCAAGUCGAACGGUAACAGGCCGCAAGGUGCUGACGAGUGGCGAACGGGUGAGUAAUGCAUCGGAACGUGCCCAGUCGUGGGGGAUAACUACUCGAAAGAGUAGCUAAUACCGCAUACGAUCUAUGGAUGAAAGCGGGGGACCGAAAGGCCUCGCGCGAUUUGAGCGGCCGAUGUCAGAGUAGGUAGUUGGUGGGGUAAAGGCUCACCAAGCCAACGAUCUGUAGCUGGUCUGAGAGGACGACCAGCCACACUGGAACUGAGACACGGCCCAGACUCCUACGGGAGGCAGCAGUGGGGAAUUUUGGACAAUGGGCGCAAGCCUGAUCCAGCAAUGCCGCGUGCAGGAAGAAGGCCUUCGGGUUGUAAACUGCUUUUGUACGGAACGAAACGGCUCUGGUUAAUACCCGGGGCUAAUGACGGUACCGUAAGAAUAAGCACCGGCUAACUACGUG
Molecule: ribosomal RNA, 482 nt
Filed under: uncultured bacterium
Lineage: Bacteria
Description: partial 16S ribosomal RNA
Rfam family: Bacterial small subunit ribosomal RNA
Source: RNAcentral